This 7759-nucleotide long non-coding RNA is filed under the name Citrus maxima (pomelo). Its description in RNAcentral is "long non-coding RNA (CMAX_LNC003702)". Lineage: Eukaryota; Viridiplantae; Streptophyta; Magnoliopsida; Sapindales; Rutaceae. The record is from RNAcentral.
CAAUAAAUAAACUUCCAAUUUAACUAGACUUGCCAUAAAAUGCCAACUCUAUAAAUAAUAGACUUAACACUGUUGACCAUAGCGGUUGAUCUAAUAAUUUUUUUUUUCCCCAGUGACAACACUACAUCGUCUUGCCUUUGCUUUUCUCCGGGAUCUGUCACCUCAUGGUUGAUUUAACAUUUCUCUUAUCAAUUAAAAGAGUAACAUUAAAAAAAGGUAGUUGUUAAAUUAUAUAAUUUUGUAACAUACAUCAAUCAAAUAGUUGCUAUUAAUAUAAAAAAUUAAAAUUAAAAUUAUGUGUAAAAAAAAAUUCAGCUCAGCAAAAAGUCAACAGAUAGAUGCAUAAGAAUUCUAUUCUUCUCCGCAUUAACAAGUAGCAUUCAUAUACGACCCUUCAAUAAUGAAGUUACUGUUUUCAAGCCAUUGUUCAUCAUUAUUGUGUUUGCUAAUUGGUAUCAUUGUUCAGACUGAUUUAGGCUUUCAAUGAAACUAUAUUGACUUCUAUUCCCAGCAAAUGGAUCCUGAUCUCAAAGCCGCAGUUAUGGCAAUAUAAUACUGAAUCUUUCAAGGAUAGGGGAAGAGAUGUAACUUUGAACUCGGGCAUCAGAGGACUUGAGACUGAUUGUGUAAAUAUAUUUUGUACAAACGGAACAAUUGUGACACUUUGAGGUUGUCGGAUAGGAACUGCAUAAUAAGAUUGUCCCAUUGGAACCAUUGUGAUGCUCGCGUAAAUCAAUUAAAGGUUCCUGGAGGAAUAAAGAACACGUAUCAAAAUAAGGUAAAAUAAAACCUAUAAAAGUCUAUAGUUAUUACAUGAAUGACACAUCCGGCAAUAUAAUAACAUUUAAGAAGUGAUUUAAUAAGGUACAAGAAGUUUAAGAGGCAAUUAACGUUAGAAUCACUUUUUUGUUUUUAGAGUUAAUGAACUACCAUUAUCUAGUGAGGGCAUCCUCAUUUUGUAAAUUAAUUAAUAGUGACUUUCCAAAUAAAAAGGUUCACAUGGAAAUAAAGUGCGUGUGUACAUAUAUAAAGAAUCCUCAUAUUAUUUAAUUGUUAGAUGAUCAACGCAUAGCUUGUAAAAUAAUUAAGAUCCAAAUAAAAUGGUUCGCAGAAGAAAAAAAUGUGUGUGUAUAUUAUAUCAUUCUCUAGUUAGGGCAUCUCAUUGUUAAAAUGAGAGAAAAAAACAAUAAACUCCUAAUGUUUGAGAAAAGAAAUAUAAAAAUCCCUUAACAAUUCGAAAAAGACAUAUAAGGCCUAUUUUUAUUAAGAAAUUUCAUUUGUUUUAAUAGUAAAUCUAUUUUUAAUUUAAAAUACUAUUGUGUCCCUAUAAAAAAUAAAUCAAUAUAUUGAUCUAAGACAUGUCACCAAUGAUGUGUAUAACGAAAUCAACAAUUUUCUUAUUUAAAACUUAAAAUUAAGAUGUAAUUACCUUUACCCAAAUUAUUCACUUUAAAUUAUGAAUAUACCUUUCCCAAUAAUAAUUAAGAUUAUAAAAAAAUAAUGAAUAAUAGAUAAAAUCAAAAUCAAAAUUAUUUUCUUCCAAUGCAAAUUGGGUAAAAUGAGAUAUUAAAUAAACUUAUUUAUGGAUGAAAGGUAAAUUGGAAAAAUAGGAAGUAAAAUUGAGGGACUCAUUUUCUUAAUAUAUUGAUUUAUUGUAGGGACAAUAGUAAUUAUAAAUUAAAAAUGAAUUUACUAUUAAAACAAAUGAAAUUUACUGACAAAAAUGGGGGCUAUGUGUGUUUUUUUUUUAAAUGUUAAGGAGUUUAAUGUCCCAUUUUCCAAAUGUUAGAGAGCUCAUUGUCAUUUUCCCCUAAAAUAAGUAUGCCCCACUAGUAGACAAAAUUUUACAGAUUUCGAUAUAUUUGAAACAUCUCAUUCUAAUAUUGAGUAACUCGUCAUCUAAUUUUCUAUUACCUAAUAUUAUUGUUUUUCUGAAAAUUUAAUUAUGUCUAGGAGUCUCAUAACGACAAAAUCAAUUUCGCAACGGAAGUAAAACUAACCUUACGAAAUUUCCUCAACAUAUAGCUAAUAAAUUAACAGAGAAAUUUAUUUCCUCUAAUACACAAAUUUUAACCAAUAAACCAACACAAGAGUUCAUCUCUAUGGAUACUCAACACUUAACAAAUAUCUAACACAGGAGUUCAUCUCAAUUGAUACACAUAAGUUAUAUAAAUAGCCAGACACAAAAGUCUUCAAACAAUACAUAAGAAACAAAAGUAGAACUUUGACAUCAAAAUUCUAGGAUUCAUCUCUUACUUGCUUUCCUCUAAAAAAUAGAAUUGACAAAAGGGCGAGCUAUGAUACUCAGUAAGUAGAAACAUACAUAACAAAUAGAACGGUAUCUUUGCUCAAUAUUUUCAAACAUUUAGUUUAACCUUAAGUUUAGAAUAAACACAUAAAUCUUUGUAUAGAAACUUGUUGAGCAUUAUUCUUGCUUAAAAUGAAUUCAAACUAAACCGUUUGAACUGAAUUCAAAAAUAAAAACAUUUAUCAUACGAAAACACAUCGAAAAUCAUAUAACAUGUCAAAACAAAUCGGAUCACAUAUCAUAUCAGGAGUUGUUAUAUAGGAGGCUCAUGUCAAAUCACAUAUCAUAUCAUGAGUUGUUAUAUAGGAGGCUCAUGUCAAAUAUUGUCACUUGCACCAUGGUGACCCGGCAUAAUUCGAAUCAUAUAAUUUACGCAACAUAAUGGAAUUUUAAUAGUGAAAGUCACCCGUUUUUCCCGGUGAUCCGGCCAAACAAAACAUAUCGUAUCAGAAUAUAACUAUCGACAUUGAGCACAAAUACUUAAAUUAUAUUCACAAAAUACAAACUUGAAUCUCAUAUAGUGACCCAUACGUGGCACUUCGCGGCACGUUAGCCCUCGAGAGGUGGCCCUCGUACAGCUCACACUCAUAAAUUGCAAGAUUUAAAUUCAAAGUUGUCUAAACUUGAGCAAAGACUAUUUAAACAGUUAUUUAGUUACACAAACAUAAUACAAAACUUAAUUACACUUGUACUUCGUUUACGUUAAAAUUAUUUUUAUCCAUUAGAUUUAAAAAAAAUUAAAAUCAAUGACCUAUAUUUAUUGGUUGUUUGUUACAUUAUUUGUAACAUAAACUUUGCUCUUAUUUUGAAUGCACCACCUUGACGGUCUUUCCAUGCACCUAAGAAGUUUUGUGUUUUUGAGAAAAUUUAUGUGGGCGCGUAGUGCACUCGAUUAAUAAGAAUCUAUCAUUUGGCAAGUUUGGCGGGUUUAAGGUGAAACACACUUAUUUAAAUUAUAAAAUAAUGGAUCUUACUUCGACUGUCUUUGAGACCCAAAUAAUGUGGAUGACCUAUGCAAGUCUUUCUUCUUAUUUUUAAUCUUUCUCCUCAUUUUUAAGUACAAAAUAAAGAAUGAUUUAUACCAAAUAAUAAGCCAAAAGCAUUUACUGCACAACUCAAUAUAUCUUAGGUUGUAUAAAUGACCAACAAUACUUCGCCAUUUAGAUGCAUAUACAAAGCUAUAUCUGGCUUAGAUAUUAUAAAUUAGGACAAUGCCUAAAAUUCAAACCUAAAUUAGGGCAACGACUAAACACAAAAUACAACUAUAAACACUAUAAAGAUCUAAAAUUGAAAGGAGAAUCAAAGACUUUACGCAUUAAAGUCUUAUGAAAAACUGUAGGAAUUUUAUGAGACUAGCCUACCCAUCUCAGCUAUUGUAGGUGAAAACUACCUGCCAAUCGAAAGAAGAAUUCAGUGCAUUGUCCCAACAAUGACACACACUACCACUAGUACCACAAAACUGUCACUAACAACACAACACAAACAUGAAAAUGUAUCUUAAACAAUCACUGUUUUUCUACAAAAAUAGAGUAAAUCAUUGGCGGUUUAAUUAACAUUUAUUAAGGGCUCAGAUAUUGUUUUACAAAGGCUAUUAAGAGAAAAAAAACAUCAUUGGGGACUUUAAUCACCUGAGUCCGUUAAGGGCUUGAGAGUAAAACAAACAGCCAAGACAAUAUAUAAUAGAGUUGGACUAUUGGCACCCCUCCAAAAUUCUUCUGAAACCCAUUUUUCAAUAAUGCUAAGCUUAAUACUAAAAAUACCCUUAUUUCUAAAUAAACACAUUUAAUUUGUGAAUCUUUUUAUUUUCUAUUCUUUUCUCGCUCCUCACAAACAAACUUUUAUGGGUGAUAAUUUUUUGAUAAAAAUCAAUUAAUAAAACAAAAUAUCUGUAAGAUUAUGAUGUAAAAAUUUUUAUUAUGAGCUUUAAAAAAGGCAGAUAAUUUUGUCAAAAUGUGUUUUGUUUAUUAUCAAUAGAUUAUCUUAGUAAUUGAAGAAAAAUAUAUAAAGAAUUUGAGAAAAAAAUUACAUGUAUGAGUUUGAUAGCAGAAAAAAUACAAGAUUUUUUUUUUUAAGAGAGAAAAUACAAAAGUUUGAAAUGAGAUAAAAUAAAUAUGAGACAUAUUAGAAUAUUUGUCUUUAAAUGUAAUUGUAACAUAAGAGGGGUUUUAAAAGAAUUUUACAGGAAUGCUAAUAGUCCAACUCUUUAUAAUAACAAAAUGAAUGAUUAGAAGAGCCCAUGAAUAAUAAAGCCCGGUAAGCAUUUUGGAAAAUUUACUGAGACAUAUAUAGUUAACCACAAAAUAAUGGCGUUGCAUGUCGUAUGCAAGUAUAUGAAGCAUAUAUAUUAGAAAAAUAGACAAAAACCAAAUUAUCACUUAAUUAAUUGGCAUCUAACCCAUAAGAAACUACAAGAACAAAAGAAUAAAAAAUUUUUAAAAAAUUGCUAAUCUGCAUAUAAAGAUUGUUCUGUAAGGCUGCCAAUCAUGUGUACAUUAGUGGGGAGAUAUAAGAGUUCUGUUUAUCUUGGCUGGGCUCAUUUUGUUAGAAUCAUCUUUUGGGCUUUCUAACUAGAUCACAAUUUGGAGCUCCUAACAUCCCCAUAAAAUUCUUAUGAAAUCAUAUUGUUAUAUUUAUAAUACUUACUCUUAAGAAAUUACGUAAAAAGACAAAAUAUUAAAAUAGAGUUUGUUAAAUUUUACCAUAUUUUUUAAAAAAAAUUUAUCAUUAGGUAAUUAUUUAUUCAAAAUUGUUUGAGUUUCUAUAAGAAAUUAAUUAUAUCAUAAAUUAGAAUAAUUAGCAGGUACAAAAAUAUUUUAAUUUAGUUAAAUUCAUAAUUGUCCUUCUCUAGCAAUGGAACUAGGGUCACAAAAAAAUGGGGUUUUAUAAGGAUUUUAAAGGGUGUGAAAAGCAAUGCUCUUAGGUAGCAUUUACAUUUUGAAUUAGGGUGGAAGCGAGAAUUCUAAGAUUAGAAGUAUGAAAUGAGAGUAGGAGUAGGUUGUUUACUUAUACUAGAAUAGGAGUAUGUAGGGGUGGCAAAAAAGCCCAGGCCGGCCCAAGCCCGGCCCAGCCAAGGCCCCGUCCUCACACAUGAGGGUCUGGACAAGGACCCAAGAAAAAAAGUCCGGACAAAACCCAAGCCCAUUACUUUUAAAAAAAUAAUUUUAUAAAUUAGAAUAAUAUAAUUAAAAUUGAAAAGUAAUUUAAAAAUUAAAAAAAAAAACUUAAAUUCUUAACUUAUAAAUCAAUUAUGAUUCAAAAAGACUAAAAUUAUGAUACUAAAUUCUCUCUUUUGUGUCAAUUAAUUAAGAGAGUGUUUGAAUUAGAAAGUCCAGUAUUAAAAAAAAUUAAAGUUACGAGCUUUUAUUUACUUUAUUUAUUAUUUUAAUUUAAAAUAUUCAUUUUUUUUAAUUUAUCUAUGACUGUGUUAACUACAGAACCACAAUUAAUUAUAAUUGCGUUUCAUAUUAACACAAGUAUUCGAGGACAAUAACUAGUCAAACAGAUGCCACGGCACUAGAUACCCGGGCAUGUGUACCAAACUACCAACUUCAUGAAAAAUGAUUGAACAACCCUAAAGAUCAGAUACACUUUUCUCAGUAUCAAUACUUGCACCAGACAUCAGUGACUGAGUCAUCUUUAAGAAGAAAGGCCCUGGCGUAAGGGCCCUGCCUAUUUUGGCUUUCUUUAAAAUAUAUAUAUAUAAAACUUAGUUUACUAAGUUUUAUUUCUUAAAAUUGUUGAUCAAUAAGAACUCUAAAUUUCAAUACUAACAAAAGACAGCAAAUCCUUUAUGUAGUGAAAAUAGGUUUUCAUCCUUAGCAGCUGAAGCUUCAAAACCUGUAAGUAUAAGCCUGCAAAUUAACAUUAGAAAAGGAGAGGGCUGUAGAAAGAAACAACUUUUUUCUUUGGAUAUAAUCUCCACCAUAGCAACUAUAAAAAUUAUGAUAAAAAAUUACCAAAAAUGAGAAUAGAUACAAAAGGAAGCUGGAAGUCCCCUCCUUUUCUCCAAACAAAUACAAUCAUUUCAGUUUACAACUAAGAACCAUUCUAUUAAUUUUCAACCAAUGAAAUAACCAUAUUAAAAAGUAAUUAUACCAUAAAUCCAAUAUUGAUACAGAAUUUACAAUUUAUGCUACACUGAAAUGGUCAAAUCCUUAAAAGAAAUUUGUUCAUCCUGCGUGGUAUAAGUUGUCUACAUCAUCUAUUAAUAUUAUGCCUCAUUAGUCCAUUUGGAUUACUAACCUUGAUUAUGGUAAAACUAACCACUAGAUUAUAACUUUAUAACCUAUUUAAACAAACUCAUAAAUCAGAAACUGAAACUGAAAAGACAAAAGGAUAUAAAGCAACAAAAACUUGAAGGAUUUCUUCAGGGUAACAAUUAGAACAUGGUAAGCAAUUAGUAUAACCCAUAUAGCACUGUGUAAUCACUCACCAACACUCCGAGCUUGUCCUAAACUAUGUAAUCAGUCGUUUCAUUUUAUGAGGUAGAGAAUUCCUAAAAACUUGAUGAAGAGACAACAGAAGUCAGCCCACAUAGCACCAAAAGCGAAUAAACUUCAAUUAGAAAAGAAAGCCAUGAAACCUAAAAGUAUGGAACAAAAACGUUCAUGCCAAAAUUAUGAUUAUGAAAAGCUAAUUGCAAUUCUUCUUACUUGAUCCUCCAGUUCUUGCUGAUAGGCAAUUUUUUUUUUUUUCAAUUCUAUUUCUCAGUCCAAAAUGCUCAGCCUGCAUUAAAUACAAAUCUACACAGAAUUAUAAAAAUAUCAGGUCGUAAAAUAACUCAAAAGAUUAUAUCCGCAGAAGCAGCAGCAAGGCUUCCUUGAAAGAGAACUCCAACAGAAACUGCAAAACAAGGAUAGUGUAUGGAUUGUAUUCGUUUUCAUACCUCAUAUUUGAAUAAUAGAACAUAUGCAAGCUUGUUGUUUCUGUCAGGCAUUUCAACAAAUAACUUGAAGACUCUACUUCGAAAAAUUUCAUCAAACAUCAGCAUUGAGUGCCAAUGUAGAGGACCAAGCACAGAUUUAACACAUCGGCAAAUCACUCAAAAAUAAAACCACAGACAAGGAAAUGACAUAAAUCAUCCGAUCCCAAUUUCACAAAACGAAACUACUAUUGUAGCGCACAAGUAUCAGCAAAUAAGAUCGAAGAAGCUAGAGAAACUAUAAGAUACGAACCAAAUGUAAAAGCAUCGUUACCUACUGUUAUGGCCGCACGUCGGCUAUCAGCUCAGGCGGUCAGAUUUUUCACUGGUGACGAAGCUAAUCAUUUGACUGAUAUUUAGGCUUUGAGCAAUAAUAUAGCCAUAAUUGGACUGUAGGAUUAAAUAUUUCUUAAUCCACAUUAUUUAUUUAUUUAUUUUAUAUAUUUAUUUAAUUAAUAAAUUAAUUAAUAUAAAAUAAAUUUAUUUAAUAUUUUGUAACUGUAUCAUCACUCUUAAAAUUUGAGGAUUAA